This 492-nucleotide ribosomal RNA is filed under the name uncultured bacterium. RNAcentral describes it as "partial 16S ribosomal RNA". It matches the Rfam family "Bacterial small subunit ribosomal RNA", at positions 29 to 507 of the family's 1533-position model. The record is from RNAcentral.
AGUGAACGCUGGCGGUAGGCCUAACACAUGCAAGUCGAACGGCAGCACAGUAAGAGCUUGCUCUUACGGGUGGCGAGUGGCGGACGGGUGAGGGAUACAUCGGAAUCUACUUUUUCGUGGGGGAUAACGUAGGGAAACUUACGCUAAUACUGCAUACGACCUACGGGUGAAAGCAGGGGAUCUUCGGACCUUGCGCGAUUGAAUGAGCCGAUGUCGGAUUAGCUAGUUGGCGGGGUAAAGGCCCACCAAGGCGACGAUCCGUAGCUGGUCUGAGAGGAUGAUCAGCCACACUGGAACUGAGACACGGUCCAGACUCCUACGGGAGGCAGCAGUGGGGAAUAUUGGACAAUGGGCGCAAGCCUGAUCCAGCCAUACCGCGUGGGUGAAGAAGGCCUUCGGGUUGUAAAGCCCUUUUGUUGGGAAAGAAAAGCAGCAGGUUAAUACCCCGCUGUUCUGACGGUACCCAAAGAAUAAGCACCGGCUAACUUCGUG